Molecule: ribosomal RNA, 496 nt
Filed under: uncultured bacterium
Lineage: Bacteria
Description: partial 16S ribosomal RNA
Rfam family: Bacterial small subunit ribosomal RNA
Source: RNAcentral
GAUGAACGCUGGCGGCGUGCCUAAUACAUGCAAGUCGAGCGAACAGACGAGGAGCUUGCUCCUCUGACGUUAGCGGCGGACGGGUGAGUAACACGUGGAUAACCUACCUAUAAGACUGGGAUAACUUCGGGAAACCGGAGCUAAUACCGGAUAAUAUAUUGAACCGCAUGGUUCAAUAGUGAAAGACGGUUUUGCUGUCACUUAUAGAUGGAUCCGCGCCGCAUUAGCUAGUUGGUAAGGUAACGGCUUGCCAGGGCAACGAUGCGUAGCCGACCUGAGGGGGGGUAGGCCCACUGUGAACGUGACCCGCGACCCUGCGACUUAGGUACGGCGCAGACGCGGACUGGUCGCAACUGGGGGAAAUCUUGCAGAAUGAGCGCAAGCUGGGUGCUGAAGCGCUGCGGGCGGUAAAACGCCCUUCUUGGGGAAAACCAAUGUGUAAGUAACUAUGCACGUCUUGACGGUAACUAAUAAGAAAGCCACGGCUAACUACGUG